GCCUUGUGAAGAAGGUAAACAUAUUCAAGGUUACAAAAUGUAGUGACAUUAAAAUUAAGUUUUGAAUGGGUUUUACUAUAAUGUUUAUUGAAUAUAAAUGCACAUUUUACCCAUAUGGGUUGAAGGCAUACAUACAUGUAAAUCAACAUAAUAAUUUUACAAUACAUCAUACAGAAAAAAAAACAACAAAAGAACAAAAUAUUAUAUACCUAUAUGUAUCUAUCAUGCAGUUGUUGAGUCCACCCUCCUCAGUGACCAUGACUUUUUAACAAAUGAAGCAGCAUACUGCAUAAUUGAUGGACAAGAAAGACAUAAAACCAAU
Molecule: long non-coding RNA, 322 nt
Filed under: Mytilus galloprovincialis (Mediterranean mussel)
Lineage: Eukaryota; Metazoa; Mollusca; Bivalvia; Mytilida; Mytilidae
Source: RNAcentral